UACGAAGGGUGCAAGCGUUACUCGGAAUUACUGGGCGUAAAGCGUGCGUAGGUGGUUUUUUAAGUCCGUUGUGAAAGCCCUGGGCUCAACCUGGGAAUGGCAGUGGAUACUGGAAAGCUAGAGUGCGGUAGAGGGUAGUGGAAUUCCCGGUGUAGCAGUGAAAUGCGUAGAGAUCGGGAGGAACAUCCGUGGCGAAGGCGACUACCUGGACCAGCACUGACACUGAGGCACGAAAGCGUGGGGAGCAAACAGG
RNAcentral lists this ribosomal RNA (253 nucleotides) under uncultured bacterium. Its description in RNAcentral is "partial 16S ribosomal RNA". It matches the Rfam family "Bacterial small subunit ribosomal RNA", at positions 524 to 776 of the family's 1533-position model. The record is from RNAcentral.